CGCUGCGGAAGGAUCAUUA
This 19-nucleotide ribosomal RNA is filed under the name Phytophthora x cambivora. RNAcentral's name for it is "Phytophthora cambivora partial 18S ribosomal RNA". The record is from RNAcentral. Lineage: Eukaryota; Oomycota; Peronosporomycetes; Peronosporales; Peronosporaceae.